This 1726-nucleotide ribosomal RNA is filed under the name Triticum aestivum (bread wheat). RNAcentral describes it as "partial small subunit ribosomal RNA". Lineage: Eukaryota; Viridiplantae; Streptophyta; Magnoliopsida; Poales; Poaceae. The record is from RNAcentral.
UUUAUGAGACGGCAGCCGAGCAGCGGGGGCGCGAGGUGAGCAGUGUGAGGCUAGGUCUGUCGGCGACGGUCGUGAGCUUGCCUAGGUGGGCCGGCCGGCCGCCGCUGGUACCUCCUCCUCGACGUGCGCGACGAGGCGCUGGAGCUGCGCGAGUUCGUCGAGGGGCUGGGGCGGAGGUAGCUGGCCUACGCUCUAGCGCACCACUUCUACUACCCGGGCAGGCCGCGGCGACGGCGGCGGUGGGCCAGCUUCUAGUUCCUGUACUCGCGCCUCCACCACCUGUCGUUGGGGAUGUCGUCCGAGUACCGCGACGUCGCCUACCCCUAGCAGCUGUUGAUGCUCGCGUAGGCGCUGAUGAGGCAGCGGUAACACCCACAUCCACCGCAACCAUCACAGCGACGACUCUACGAGUGAUCUACACCUUAACCUGCGGAGAACAAUAUACUGAUACUGUGCCAACUCAACCGAUUGUACUUAUCCGACAAGAAGGCGGGUCUGGUCCAACCUUACUGGUUCUGACUACGACGACACGUCUGUGAAUCGCUUUAUUUAGGACUACAGCAUAACCUCUCAAUAAGUGACUUAUAGUGAUGUCACUUUCCUAAACUUUGUAAAAACCCUUCAGAGUUUCGGUCCUCGAGAUUACCCGCGUCGUGACCUCAACUAGAACAAAACUCGACACAACUAUUGAUACUUCGAGCAUACCAACAGUUAGUCCGAACGUUACUCGAAGCGGUUUGUACCUACCUUAGACCACACAGACUUCUACGACAAAGACCAGUAUAUGUCGAUAACCAAGGACCACUUUGACGUACGAAACGUACACGAGGAGGUAACCAACAUCGUAGUCCUCACCUGCUCGCAUGUGAAUUCGCUCUACCACAAACACGACGGAGAAACGGUUGAUGUUACCCGCAACAACGACCUGAGGACCAGGUCUUAAGAGACUUUAUAGACAACUUCAAACCUGUUCAAAGGGGAAUGAACCCUAUAUUAAGUGAAUUCCUAAAAAAGGGUUGUUACCUUUACUCUGGUUUAGGUGUUACAAGUUUGGGUCGUACAGAACUCUCUGUCUUUCUUAUAUACGUUAGUUUUGGACGAUCUCUACGUCGUCGUUUCCGAUUCUACCUUCGGCUUCGUAGGCGUCGUUAACUUAUGGGCCAAGUGUACCUAUUGCUCACCUUGUAAUCACAAGAACUACUAUCACUGUGUCGUUGCAGUUCGCAAGUUUCCCGACGUUGUCUGUAGGAAGGUCUUCCGGAACAGGCACUUGAAGGUCUACUUCUAUGGAUGCACCUUGGUGGACGACGUGGUCGGUCGACACCACGGUAGCUACUGCUAGAGCUCCUCGAGGUCGCCGUUGAGCUGCGGGAUUUGAGUAGAACUGGAGCGCGUCUAGACCGAGUUUGUCACGUAACCUUUUGGUUUGGUCUACGGUAACAAACGCAGGGAAGACUGUCUCAAUCGGUAAAGUCAACUAUAUCGGAGACGAACAAGAUUAGCUCGCCUCUUUACAAUCGACGUAAAAGAUCAGUACGUUAAAACCUAGCCCACUAAAUCUAAAAUUCUCCGCCCACAACUACUCUCAAGGCGAUAUCUGUCUCCAACUUAUCUUGAAUACUUGGCACUGUCGUAUAUGACAUUUUGGACAUGACUUGAAAGACAUUCUACACACGGAUGGCUGUUUUAGUAUCUAUGGCACAAAAUGGUUCUUACAUGUAGCGGG